GAGGGUAUAGCUCAGUGGUAGAGCGCAUGCCUCGCAUGCACAAGGUUGUGGGUUCAAUCCCCAGUACCUCCA
This 72-nucleotide transfer RNA is filed under the name Camelus bactrianus (Bactrian camel). It matches the Rfam family "tRNA". From Rfam's summary of the family: Transfer RNA (tRNA) molecules are approximately 80 nucleotides in length. Lineage: Eukaryota; Metazoa; Chordata; Mammalia; Artiodactyla; Camelidae. RNAcentral also lists the same sequence under 2 other names. The record is from Rfam by way of RNAcentral.